This 618-nucleotide ribosomal RNA is filed under the name uncultured archaeon. RNAcentral describes it as "bacterial SSU rRNA". It matches the Rfam family "Archaeal small subunit ribosomal RNA", at positions 332 to 958 of the family's 1478-position model. The record is from RNAcentral.
CCUUCGGGCUUUUUGUUACUUACCAGAGGGUAACCGUGAUAAUGGAAAACUAGGCGAGUUCCGUAGAGCUACCUUCCCUGUGUUAAAAGCAUGCGAAGAAAAGCCCCAAGACCGGUGCCAGCCGCCGCGGUAAUACCGGCGGCUCGAGUGGUGGCCACUAUUACAGGGAUUAAGGGGUUCGUAGCUGGGUCGUUAAGUCUCUUGGGAAAUCUACCGGCUUAACCGAUAGGCGUCCAAGGGAUACUGGCGUUCUCGGGACCGGGAGAGGGGAGGGGUACUUCAGGGGUAGGAGUGAAAUCCUGUAAUCCUUGGGGGACCACCUGUGGCGAAGGCGCCUCACCAAAACGGCUCCAACAGUGAGGGACGAAAGCUGGGGUAUUAAACCGGAUUAAAUACCCGGGUAGUCCCAGCCGUAUACGAUGCUCGUUAGGUGCCAGCCAUGGGGCGCCCGUUUCUGUGGCCGCAGGAAACCCGUGAAACGAGCCCCCUGGGAGAAACGCCCCCAAGGUGGAAACUUAAAGGAAUUGGGGGGGAAAGGGGAAUUCUUUUUAACCUGCAGGACUGUUCCCUUUAUGGGGUUAUUUCUGAGCUUGGGAAAUCAUGGCAAAGCUGUUCCGG